UCAUAGUGCCAUUGAAGAAGAUACUGCCUUUCAAGAUUAAGACAGGACUUCUUAUGGGAUGAUUCUAUUGAGAGUGCAUAAUAGACUACUGGUGAUCGCAUUGCAAGGGCUGCGUAAUGCCCCCUUUCCUACAAUACAAUACGACUGUUUUUGCCCAUAGUCUAAUUUUUUACUAAUUAAAUUAAAUCAAUUUGAGAAGGAAAAAUUACUUGAAUUAUAAUAUCCCUUUCUUAAUAUGGGUUUAUAUUAUAAAUUUUAAUGAAUUUAAGUUAAGACCCUUUAAAGGUUUCAAUUUUAAGGCUUUAAAGGUUUAAUUCCAAUCGAAAGCGACACAACGCGUGGAACGGCGCUUCGCAUGCUCGAUUGUGAAUUGGCUAGCUUUAGAGAAUCCUAACUCGAAAAACAUGCUGUUUAGACCAUAAGUACAUUGAUAUUUUCAACUUGUUUCGAUGCCCGUAUUAGUACGAAGUUUUUCUUCAACCUGUAUAAAUUGCAACAAAUAUUGCGGCUUGUGAUAACGAACAAUAUGACAGUUAGUGAAAGGAACGUGAUGAAUGCACACAUUGUCCAAGAACAGAUCAUUCAAUCGGACAUUAACGAAUGUGACACUUUUGAAUUCCAAAUUAUUAUAAUAUUUAAAUUUAUCUGUGGAGAUCCAGAAUUCGGGUCGAAUGCAAUAUGUCACUCACCGUCUCAUCGAAAAUUACGAAAAGAAUUUGAACGGAGUAACACCUUAAAAGGAAAACAAACGAUAAAAAUAUCGUAUUUCCCGGUCCGUAGAACCUUGUACUCCACAACAUAAAGAAAGAAUAAUAAACGAUAGCAAAAUAUAUGAUCAAACAAAGAGUUGCAUUACGCGCAGGUGUUGCAAAAGACAAAAAG
This 882-nucleotide long non-coding RNA is filed under the name Androctonus crassicauda. Lineage: Eukaryota; Metazoa; Arthropoda; Arachnida; Scorpiones; Buthidae. The record is from RNAcentral.